RNAcentral lists this unclassified non-coding RNA (243 nucleotides) under Hevea brasiliensis (rubber tree). Lineage: Eukaryota; Viridiplantae; Streptophyta; Magnoliopsida; Malpighiales; Euphorbiaceae. The record is from RNAcentral.
CGUGAAGUAAUCGGAAUUACAAUAGGACAGAUAUAAAUUUGAGACCAAGAAAAUGAAGCACUAAAAAACUAGGAAAAAAAGACUCGCGGAAAUCCGUCAACAGUGCUCGAAGAAUUUGAACAACAAGAAUCCAAGUGGCAGAAAAUUUUAGCUGACUUUCCAGAUUCCAAAUGCUUGAAUCAAGCCAAACCACUGCAGAAAAACUAAAACAGACACUGAUAACAGAGAGAGAGAGAGAGAGAG